AGCCAGACUCCUACGGGAGGCAGCAGUGGGGAAUAUUGCACAAUGGGGGAAACCCUGAUGCAGCGACGCCGCGUGAGUGAAGAAGUAAUUCGUUAUGUAAAGCUCUCUCAGCAGGGAAGAAAAUGACGGUACCUGAGUAAGAAGCCCCGGCUAACUACGUGCCAGCAGCCGCGGUAAUACGUAGGGGGCAAGCGUUAUCCGGAUUUACUGGGUGUAAAGGGAGCGUAGACGGCGAUGCAAGUCUGAAGUGAAAGGCGGGGGCCCAACCCCCGGACUGCUUUGGAAACUGUAUGGCUGGAGUGCAGGAGAGGUAAGUGGAAUUCCUAGUGUAGCGGUGAAAUGCGUAGAUAUUAGGAGGAACACCAGUGGCGAAGGCGGCCUGCUGGACGACAACUGACGGUGAGGCGCGAAAGCGUGGGGAGCAAACAGGAUUAGAUACCCGCGUA
Molecule: ribosomal RNA, 446 nt
Filed under: uncultured bacterium
Lineage: Bacteria
Description: bacterial SSU rRNA
Rfam family: Bacterial small subunit ribosomal RNA
Source: RNAcentral